AACGUAGGAGACAAACGUUAUCCGGAGUUACUGGGCGUAAAGGGCGUGUAGGUGGUUUCGUAAGUCUGGCGUGAAAUUUUUCGGCUUAACCGGGAAAGGUCGUCGGAUACUGCGGAACUAGAGGACGGUAGAGGCGUGUGGAAUUCCGGGUGUAGUGGUGAAAUGCGUAGAGAUCCGGAAGAACACCAGUGGCGAAGGCGGCCCGCUGGGCAGUGGCUGACGCUGAGGCGCGACAGCGUGGGGAGCAAACAGG
Molecule: ribosomal RNA, 253 nt
Filed under: uncultured bacterium
Lineage: Bacteria
Description: partial 16S ribosomal RNA
Rfam family: Bacterial small subunit ribosomal RNA
Source: RNAcentral